UGAAUACGAGACGCUAAGGCGUCGAAGUAGUGUAUGUCAUACUUCCAAGAAAAGCUUGCACUGUCAUAGGAAAAAAACGCCUGUACCAUAACCGACACAGGUGGGUAGGUAGAGUAUACUAAGGGGCGCGAGAUAACUCUCUCUAAGGAACUCGGCAAAAUAACUCCGUAACUUCGGGAGAAGGAGUGCCUUAUUCGUAAGGUUGCAAUAACAAGAUCCAAGCAACUGUUUAUCAAAAACACAGGUCUCCGCUAAGUCGUAAGACGAUGUAUGGGGGCUGACGCCUGCCCAGUGCCAGAAGGUUAAAGAAGUUGGUUAGCAAUUGCGAAGCUGAUAACUGAAGCCCUGGUGAACGGCGGCCGUAACGAUAACGGUCCUAAGGUAGCGAAAUUCCUUGUCGGGUAAGUUCCGACCCGCACGAAAGGCGUAAUGAUUUGGAUACUGUCUCGGAGAGGGGCUCGGUGAAGUAGACUUGUCUGUGAAGAUGCGGACUACCUGCACCAGGACAGAAAGACCCUAUGAAGCUUUACUGUAACUUGAAAUUGAAAUUGGACUUUAUUCGCGCAGUAUAGGUGGGAGGCGUUGAUUAUAAUCUUGUGGGAUUAUUGGAGCCAUCAGUGAGAUACCACUCUUGUAAUGUUAGAUUUCUAACUUUGAAUCAUUAUCUGGUCAAAGAACAGUUUCAGGCGGGCAGUUUGACUGGGGCGGUCGCCUCCUAAACGGUAACGGAGGCGUACAAAGGUUUCCUCUGAACGGUUAGAAAUCGUAUCUAGAGUGUAAAGGCAUAAGGAAGCUUGACUGUGAGACCUACAAGUCGAGCAGGGACGAAAGUCGGUCUUAGUGAUCUGACGGUACUGAGUGGAAAGGCCGUCACUCAACGGAUAAAAGUUACUCUAGGAUAACAGGCUGAUCUCCCCCAAGAGUUCACAUCGACGGGGAGGUUUGGCACCUCGAUGUCGGCUCAUCGCAUCCUGGGGCGGUAGUACGUCCCAAGGGUUGGGCUGUUCGCCCAUGAGAGCGGUACGCGAGCUGGGUUCAGAACGUCGUGAGACAGUUCGGUCCAUAUCCGGUGUAGGCGUUAGAAUAUUGAGAGGAGCCUUCUUUAGUACGAGAGGACCGAGAAGGACAUACCUCUGGUGUACCAGUUAUCGUGCCAACGGUAAACGCUGGGUAGCUAUGUAUGGAGUGGAUAACCGCUGAAAGCAUCUAAGUGGGAAGCCCACCUCAAGAUAAGUAUUCU
Molecule: ribosomal RNA, 1240 nt
Filed under: metagenome
Description: bacterial LSU rRNA
Rfam family: Bacterial large subunit ribosomal RNA
Source: RNAcentral